UAAACGGAGAGUUUGAUCCUGGCUCAGGAUGAACGCUGGCGGCGUGCUUAACACAUGCAAGUCGAACGAUUAACCCAAACUUCGGUUUGGUUAUAAAGUGGCGAACGGGUGAGUAACACGUGACCAACCUGCCUUCUAGAUCGGGAUAACUCAAGGAAACUUGUGCUAAUACCGGAUACUCCGGAGCAAUCGCAUGGUAGCUUCGGGAAAGCUUUUGCGCUAGAAGAUGGGGUCGCGGCCUAUUAGGUAGUUGGUGGGGUAGAGGCCUACCAAGCCUGCGAUAGGUAGCCGGGUUGAGAGACUGAUCGGCCACAUUGGGACUGAGAUACGGCCCAGACUCCUACGGGAGGCAGCAGUGGGGAAUUUUGCGCAAUGGGGGCAACCCUGACGCAGCAACGCCGCGUGCGGGAUGAAGGUCUUCGGAUUGUAAACCGCUUUCAGUAGGGAAUAAGUAUGAAGGUACCUACAGAAGAAGCACCGGCUAAAUACGUGCCAGCAGCCGCGGUAAUACGUAUGGUGCAAGCGUUAUCCGGAAUCAUUGGGCGUAAAGCGCGCGUAGGCGGCUUGUUAAGCAGGAAUUUAAAUCUUAGGGCUCAACCUUAAGUCGGUUCCUGAACUGGCAGGCUCGAGUGCGGUAGAGGAAGGUGGAAUUCCCAGUGUAGCGGUGAAAUGCGCAGAUAUUGGGAAGAACACCGAUGGCGAAGGCAGCCUUCUGGGCCGCCACUGACGCUGAGGCGCGAAAGCUAGGGGAGCGAACAGGAUUAGAUACCCUGGUAGUCCUAGCCGUAAACGAUGGGCACUAGGUGUGGGGAGGAAUUCUCUCCGUGCCGCAGCUAACGCAUUAAGUGCCCCGCCUGGGGAGUACGGCCGCAAGGCUAAAACUCAAAGGAAUUGACGGGGGCCCGCACAAGCAGCGGAGCAUGUGGCUUAAUUCGAAGCAACGCGAAGAACCUUACCAGGGCUUGACAUAUAGGUGAGCCUGUAGAAAUA
RNAcentral lists this ribosomal RNA (990 nucleotides) under Eggerthellaceae bacterium. RNAcentral's name for it is "bacterial SSU rRNA". It matches the Rfam family "Bacterial small subunit ribosomal RNA", at positions 1 to 1008 of the family's 1533-position model. The record is from RNAcentral. Lineage: Bacteria; Bacillati; Actinomycetota; Coriobacteriia; Eggerthellales; Eggerthellaceae.